UCCUACGGGAGGCAGCAGUGAGGAAUAUUGGACAAUGGGUGCGAGCCUGAUCCAGCCAUCCCGCGUGAAGGACUAAGGCCUUAUGGGUUGUAAACUUCUUUUAUACUGGGAUAAACCUACUUACGCGUAAGUAGCUGAAGGUACAG
Molecule: ribosomal RNA, 146 nt
Filed under: Chryseobacterium sp. SB171
Lineage: Bacteria; Pseudomonadati; Bacteroidota; Flavobacteriia; Flavobacteriales; Weeksellaceae
Description: partial 16S ribosomal RNA
Rfam family: Bacterial small subunit ribosomal RNA
Source: RNAcentral